This 436-nucleotide ribosomal RNA is filed under the name uncultured Pseudomonadota bacterium. RNAcentral's name for it is "bacterial SSU rRNA". It matches the Rfam family "Bacterial small subunit ribosomal RNA", at positions 8 to 490 of the family's 1533-position model. The record is from RNAcentral. Lineage: Bacteria; Pseudomonadati; Pseudomonadota.
AGAGUUUGAUCCUGGCUCAGAACGAACGCUGGCGGCAGGCUUAACACAUGCAAGUCGAACGCCCACGCAAGUGGGAGUGGCAGACGGGUGAGUAACACGUGGGAAUGUACCAACGGCUUCGGAAUAACUCCGGGAAACUGGAGCUAAUACCGGAUACGCCCGCAAGGGGAAAGGUUUACUGCUGUUGGAUCAGCCCGCGUCUGAUUAGCUUGUUGGUGCGGUAAAGGCGUACCAAGGCGACGAUCAGUAGCUGGUCUGAGAGGAUGAUCAGCCACACUGGGACUGAGACACGGCCCAGACUCCUACGGGAGGCAGCAGUGGGGAAUAUUGGACAAUGGGCGCAAGCCUGAUCCAGCCAUGCCGCGUGAGUGAUGAAGGCCUUAGGGUUGUAAAGCUCUUUUAUCGAGGACGAUAAUGACGGUACCUCAAGAAGAAG